This 141-nucleotide non-coding RNA is filed under the name Flexistipes sinusarabici. RNAcentral's name for it is "MoCo sequence". It matches the Rfam family "Molybdenum/Tungsten riboswitch aptamer (Moco RNA motif)". Lineage: Bacteria; Pseudomonadati; Deferribacterota; Deferribacteres; Deferribacterales; Flexistipitaceae. RNAcentral also lists the same sequence under 1 other name. The record is from RNAcentral.
AAAAAAAAUCAUCUCCGAGUUUAUAAGUCUAAGUCGGUAAAAUACGAUAUGACUUAUAAACCGGUUGGGUUCAGCCCCCAGGGUUUGGACGGAAACGCCCAUGCCUCCCGAAAUUUGGAAAGGAGAUAACUGGUAGUUUUA